This 21-nucleotide non-coding RNA is filed under the name Arabidopsis thaliana (thale cress). The record is from RNAcentral. Lineage: Eukaryota; Viridiplantae; Streptophyta; Magnoliopsida; Brassicales; Brassicaceae.
GGGGGUAGUCAGGCCGCCUGC